UUGCUAAGAUGUUCAAUCUACUCAAUCAUGUAUAAUACAUGAUCAGUGACUGAAGCUCCCUCUCUCAUAUGGACAUUGAAUACUGCGUAGGAGGUUUUAUGUCUCUCCACAUCCUCAGGGGUACCGAAGGACUCAUUCAAUAUUUGAAUUAUCUCCUAAGGCUGUGCAUCCUCGAACUUACGACUAAGUUCAUCGUUCAUAGCUAUCCUUAUCAUGCAACGCAUAGUCGUAUGAUCAUUAAGCUACUUCAUGUAAGUGUCUCUCGC
RNAcentral lists this long non-coding RNA (266 nucleotides) under Elaeis guineensis (African oil palm). Its description in RNAcentral is "long non-coding RNA (EGUI_LNC072313)". The record is from RNAcentral. Lineage: Eukaryota; Viridiplantae; Streptophyta; Magnoliopsida; Arecales; Arecaceae.